This 383-nucleotide unclassified non-coding RNA is filed under the name Hevea brasiliensis (rubber tree). The record is from RNAcentral. Lineage: Eukaryota; Viridiplantae; Streptophyta; Magnoliopsida; Malpighiales; Euphorbiaceae.
UGUGGUAAAAUCUUAAGCCUUCCUUUACUGAAAUUUGAAACACCAUCUUAGAAUAUAUGUUAGAAGAGUGUGGACAGUUAAAUAUAAAGCGAUCUUCCGUCUUUUUGAUAAUGUAUUUUAAUCAUUAUUUGGCUAAUUGACAAUGAUCUUGUGCUAUGCUUUGCAUUUAGGGAUGUAAUUUUGCAAGUCUAGUUCACAAUCAAACAUUUUCGUAUCUUUUGAAGUUUGGGUUUAUCGGAUGUUGCCAAAGGUUAAUGUCAGUAAUCUAAUUUCGUGGAUAAAUCCAGCAGAAAUUGAUAAUAGGUGCAUCGGUUUCCCUAGGGGUUUAUUUCUUGGUACUGGAUAAAUAAAAGGCUUGGUUUUGGUAGUCCAAUUAGUUGAAG